Molecule: long non-coding RNA, 661 nt
Organism: Myiozetetes cayanensis
Lineage: Eukaryota; Metazoa; Chordata; Aves; Passeriformes; Tyrannidae
Exons: 3
Source: RefSeq, a predicted model, not a curated record
GGAGCUGUUGCGGUUGACGGCUGAGUGGUUUAUUUAAAUGUCGCCCGCUGCCUCUGUGAUUCGAGGGGACACAACCUCCUUAUCGUAAUGGGACGGGGGCAGACUAUUAUGGCUUUGAUGAUGCUGAAAACCAUGUGAGUGAGGUCACAGCAGUGAGCAGGAUCACCAGCCUUCUCUGAUACAGAAACUAAGGAAACUGCAAAUAUAAAAGAUAUAGCAGGAAUAAAAGAGUGGAACAAUUAAUGUGGGUGGGUGUCGGGAGUGGACCAGCAGAGGCCUACAGAGAAUGGAGACAGAUGCAGAAAGGCUACGAAGAAACCUUGGAGGAAGAAAUCUAUCUAGAAGUGCUUUGACAACUGCAACUGCAGGAAGUGCCUGAGAUCCAGCGAUAAGACGCCGCUUCCACAGACCCCUGCAGAACUCCCCUAUCUGUGCCCCUCACCAUUCCUUCCCUUCCUUCCCUAACUCCUAAAUCUCCCUAUAUGGCUGGACAUAUCCCUGCGGUCAAUCCCUCCAUUUUCCCUUAUCUCUGACCCUUAGGAUUCGGUGCCCCUGGCAAGAAUCCCACCCUAGUUCGAGACCCUUCUAUGUACCCCUCUAUAUAAACUGACACCUUGUUUUAAUAAACGCCAUUUUGUGAGUCACCUAUCUGGGGGCUCAU